GCCAGGUAUUGUGGUGGAUGCCUGUAAUCCCAGCUACUCGGGAGGCUGAGGCAGGAGAAUCACUUGAACCCGGGAGGCAGAGGUUGCAGUGAGCCGAGAUUGCGCCACUACACUCCAGCCUGGGUGACAGAGUGAGACUCUGUCUCAA
This is an unclassified non-coding RNA of Macaca fascicularis (crab-eating macaque), 148 nucleotides long. It matches the Rfam family "Metazoan signal recognition particle RNA". From Rfam's summary of the family: The signal recognition particle (SRP) is a universally conserved ribonucleoprotein. It is involved in the co-translational targeting of proteins to membranes. The record is from Ensembl. NCBI's taxonomy places the organism in Eukaryota, Metazoa, Chordata, Mammalia, Primates, Cercopithecidae.